AUGGAUAAUGAAAUUGAACAGAUUCUAUUAUUUCCUCAUGUCAAUGGAGAAAAUCUCUUUCUGGCGGAAGCAUGGUACUUCUCUUUGGCUGUGGAAAAAGAUUUAGCUGGAGGGUACACAAUAAGCGAAUCUGUUAGAGCUAGCAGAGGAGCAUUAUUGUUGCUAGUGCCAAUUUUUACUGUCUUUUCUGCAAUAGGAGUGCCUGUUUUAAGAUACAUUAUAUAUUUGACAAAUAUAUCUUUUUUAGAUAGACCACCACAGUAA
Non-coding RNA from Vicia faba (fava bean), 264 nucleotides. Lineage: Eukaryota; Viridiplantae; Streptophyta; Magnoliopsida; Fabales; Fabaceae. The record is from the annotation of a GenBank genome assembly.